Pneumocystis jirovecii is the source of this 95-nucleotide transfer RNA. It matches the Rfam family "tRNA". From Rfam's summary of the family: Transfer RNA (tRNA) molecules are approximately 80 nucleotides in length. Their secondary structure includes four short double-helical elements and three loops (D, anti-codon, and T loops). NCBI's taxonomy places the organism in Eukaryota, Fungi, Ascomycota, Pneumocystomycetes, Pneumocystales, Pneumocystaceae. The record is from Rfam.
GGCCGCGUGGCGCAAUGGCUUAGCGUAUCGGAGUCCGGUGGGGUUUUCACGUGGUAGUUAUCCGGAGGUUGUGGGUUCGAGUCCCAUCGUGGUCG